This 227-nucleotide long non-coding RNA is filed under the name Setaria italica (foxtail millet). RNAcentral's name for it is "long non-coding RNA (SITA_LNC004071)". The record is from RNAcentral. Lineage: Eukaryota; Viridiplantae; Streptophyta; Magnoliopsida; Poales; Poaceae.
ACAGGUUGCACCAAGGAGUAGGCACUAAUAAAACAGAACUAUUGAGUUAUCCUUGGGUCAGAGACGAAUAACACAUAGACGAGCUCUAUUAACCAAAAAAAUCAUACGAUAUUAAUUAAAUCAACAGGCAACCUUUUAGCAUAACUGCAAAUAAAUAAGAAAAAAAAGUCUCACGAAUGGGAAAAAAUUGAGACAAUGGUUUCUAUUGCUCUUUGGCAAAAUAGAUA